Molecule: long non-coding RNA, 1482 nt
Organism: Alexandromys fortis (reed vole)
Lineage: Eukaryota; Metazoa; Chordata; Mammalia; Rodentia; Cricetidae
Exons: 2
Source: RefSeq, a predicted model, not a curated record
CUCUCUCUCUCUCUCUCAUCGUAGUUUCAGCGCAUCACUGCUACUGACUACUGCAUAUAUUUUUUUAAUGACAAGCAUGUAUUUAUGUAGGUUCUCCAUGAGAACUAGUGCCAUUGAAAUUACACUGUCUGUGAUGAAAUAAAAUGCAAUCUACACUUUAACUGACUUGCAAACAAGCCAGGUAGGGAGAGAGCUCGCUAAAACUUAUUUUUCUUGGGGGUAAUUUUUUUUUGCCCCAGCCUACCAAGAUUAUUCAUCUAAGAAGGAAUUUGGGAAUUAAUCGGGAAAAUCUGUUUGAUUAGAAAGUAAUUCUUCAUUUUGAGCGAUUUUUUUCCAAUGCUCUUAAGACCAUGCAGCGUCUUAGCCAAGACGAGAGGGAGAAAACCGGUUUAGGAUUUUGCAGUUACCUCAUCUAAUCCUUCUGAAUUCACCCUGGGAAUAAUGCUGUUUUAUUUAGGCGGGGCAUGGGGGGGGGGAGAAAAAGAAAAUACAUUUAGAAAAAUCAGGGGUUUCCUCUCUCUGAGCCAAAUCUGGGUUGCCAGUCAAAGUUUUCCUGGCCGCCUUUCCAUGCGGGACAGCUGAUCAAUAAAAGCCAAGUCCAGCCUGGCUUGCUACAGGUUUCGCCAGUCAGUGCUUGCAAAACCUUUGUCAUUUUCUAAAAAUAAAAAAGCUAAAAGUUAUUGUAGAAGAAGGGGCUUUUUUUUUGUCCCCUGCACAAUGUGUCUUUUGUGAGGUUAAUACCAUUCUGGGCUCUCGAUAGCCCUGGACAAUGGGGACUCUCCAGGAGCGUGUGAAGACCCUGGCUUUUUUCUUUCUGGCCUUUCUCCCCCCCCUCUUUUUUUAGGGGAAGGAUGAAACAUUCCUACAGUCCAAAUACAACCUCUGCUUUGAUUAAAUAAAUAUUUAUCUUUAUUGUAGCCAUUGUAUAUUUUUACCUUCAGUUUGUCUGGUUUCUGAUUAUUAUUUUAAAAUUUUCAUUGGCAACAGUUAAUCUCUUUUUUUUUCUUUCAGUUCAAAAUACAGGUCAGUGUAAAAUGUAGCUGACUGAGGGAAGGCUGGUAAAUUCUGAAUUUUUCCAUAAUACAUCAGUCCUACGUUUUCAUCAUAGCUGCUGGCCACCAGUGCCCUUCCUUCCCCACGGCCGGGCUGUGCACCCCAGCGGUUCCUGGCCUUGUGUGGAAGCAGCACAGGCAGCUGGACCCCGGAUCCUUUUGCCAGUCCUUGAUCAGUAGAGGUGCAAAGAGGCUUCUUAGCAGCCUUCCAGCCAGGAACUCCAGGAGCUGGAAGACCUUGAUGGCAUAGAAGAGAGGCCUGUAGUGGUCAGUGCAGGUGCCUCGUGCCUGUUCAAAGGGCUAUUUAGAAGAGGAACUGUGUGGCAGGGCUGUGGGGUCUGGCCGCUCUGCGGAGCCUUCUUGUUGCACGUGGGCGCAGUGCCAAAGCAUGCAGUGUGAAGGAAACGUUUAAUAAAGACGUGAGAACCUC